Molecule: long non-coding RNA, 1810 nt
Filed under: Equus caballus (horse)
Lineage: Eukaryota; Metazoa; Chordata; Mammalia; Perissodactyla; Equidae
Description: lncRNA (ENSECAG00000053802.1)
Source: RNAcentral
UAAAACUCUGUCCCAGAAGACUGGAUAAAGAGAUUCUUCUGCUACCUUGAAUAAGCAAGCUGCUGUAUUAUCGUGAGAGGGCCACAUGGCAAGAAACUCUAGGAGGUGGGAGCAGUCCCUGGUCAACAGCCAGCAAGAAAGCGGGGACCUCAGUCCUACAACCACAAGACACUGAAUUCUGCCAACAAACAUAUGAUCUUGGAUAAGGACCUGGAGACUCAGAUGAGAUCAUAGCCUUGGCCAACACCUCCAUCAAAGUCUUGUCAGAGGGGCUGGCGUGGUGGCACAGUGGUUAAGUUUGCACGUUCCAUUUCGGCAGCCCGGGGUUCGUCGGUUCGGAUCCUGGGCGCCGACAUGGCACCGCUCAUCAAGCCAUGCUGAGGCGGCAUCCCACAUAGCACAGCCAGAAGGACCUACAACUAAGAAUAUACAACUAUGUACCGGGUGGCUUUGGGGAGAAAAAAGAAAAAUAAAAUCUUUAAAAUCCUGCAAGCAACAUUCCCCAAACUCCCUUAUUAGCUGGCUUUCUGUUGGAUUCUGCUGACGGAAAGUAGUGAUGGAAGAUUUGAAGGCAGGGGAGAAGUCUUGUUUUUCACUUUUGGAGGAGGUCUCUGACAACACCACCAUCAGAGGAAUUAACUGAGGUUCCAUGGCACUAGAGCUACCUGGAAGUCACAAAAUGGAAGCACCUGGAUCCCGGAGUCAUCACUUGCAAGACAAUGGUCCAGGAGAGCUGCCCAAACAAGAAUGUCUGCACAGCACUUUGAAGGAGGAAGAAAGAAGCCUUAUUGCGUGAAGCCCCUGAGGUUACCCGCUCUCACGAAUGCAUUUGCCUUUGCAGUUUUACAGCUCCCUUUAAUAGAGACCUACCAAGACUAUGUAAAGCUGUUCUGUUUAGCCCCAGUCUUGACAGUUCUGCUAUCUCCCAUCAUUCCUACCUCUGGGUCUCAAAGUAGGUGCCGCCCUUUGACUCACCAAGCUCUUCAGCUUGUUCUCUACUUUCCUGGACAUCCUUCCCAGGAGAAGGAAGGCAACCCUGACCCCAUUUCUUUGUGGAAGAAUCUUAAUCUCAGUGUUUGCUAAUCCACUCUUGGGCUGCAAAGGACUCCUCAGAAUUCUUCCCAGAAAGCUUAGGACUCAUAUAGAAAUAAAACAUCCAAUAGGUUGUUGUGACAUUUCUGGGAAUUAAGUCAGUAUGCAUUAAGUGUGAUCCUAUGCUACCCACUUAUUGUUCUUUAUUUUACAGUAAUUAAUUGAGUGCAUGGUCAUUGUUUUUCAUCACUACCAGGCCAAAAAUAAUUAGCGAUAGCUUGAGAGUGGGAAUUCUGAGUUAUUCAUCUUUAUAGCUCCAAUAAUGCCCACCACGUUACCUUGUAGACUGAAGCACUCAGUGACUGUUGAAUUUAAUAGGUGCACAUGGCAGGAGUUUUGUCAACAGACCCAUGACCUCACUGAUUCAACCCAUCUCCUCCAGCCUACCAAUAUGUGAAUGCACAGAGGGGCUGAUGCAGGAGCCACCUGUGUACUCUGGGAGAAAAGAUUUUUUUCUAAACCCUUGCCUAGACUUCAGUAUGAAAUUUUCAGUCACCUCGAUUGUGAUGUAAUUUACACACAAUAAAAUGCGUAAGUAUUAAGUUUAGAGUCUGAUGAGUUUUGACAAAUACGAGCAGCCUCGAAAUUACGACACCAAUCAAGAUAUAAAACAUUUCCACUACACCAGAAAGUUCCCUUCGUCCCUUUCAAGUCAAUCCCCCUUCACCAUUGCCAUCCCUGUUGCCCUGGGGAACUACCGAUCUUAUUUCUAUCACCG